Molecule: ribosomal RNA, 689 nt
Filed under: uncultured bacterium
Lineage: Bacteria
Description: bacterial SSU rRNA
Rfam family: Bacterial small subunit ribosomal RNA
Source: RNAcentral
ACAACAGUUGGAAACGACUGCUAAUACCGCAUAAGCCCACGACCCGGCAUCGGGAAGAGGGAAAAGGAGCAAUCCGCUUUGAGAUGGCCUCGCGUCCGAUUAGCUAGUUGGUGAGGUAACGGCCCACCAAGGCGACGAUCGGUAGCCGGACUGAGAGGUUGAACGGCCACAUUGGGACUGAGACACGGCCCAGACUCCUACGGGAGGCAGCAGUGGGGAAUAUUGCACAAUGGGGGAAACCCUGAUGCAGCGACGCCGCGUGGAGGAAGAAGGUCUUCGGAUUGUAAACUCCUGUUGUUGAGGAAGAUAAUGACGGUACUCAACAAGGAAGUGACGGCUAACUACGUGCCAGCAGCCGCGGUAAAACGUAGGUCACAAGCGUUGUCCGGAAUUACUGGGUGUAAAGGGAGCGCAGGCGGGCGAUCAAGUUGGAAGUGAAAUCCAUGGGCUCAACCCAUGAACUGCUUUCAAAACUGGUCGUCUUGAGUAGUGCAGAGGUAGGCGGAAUUCCCGGUGUAGCGGUGGAAUGCGUAGAUAUCGGGAGGAACACCAGUGGCGAAGGCGGCCUACUGGGCACCAACUGACGCUGAGGCUCGAAAGUGUGGGUAGCAGACAGGAUUAGAUACCCUGGUAGUCCACACCGUAAACGAUGAUUACUAGGUGUUGGGAGAUUGACCCUCUCAGUGCCG